Molecule: long non-coding RNA, 522 nt
Filed under: Salvia miltiorrhiza (redroot sage)
Lineage: Eukaryota; Viridiplantae; Streptophyta; Magnoliopsida; Lamiales; Lamiaceae
Description: long non-coding RNA (SMIL_LNC013054)
Source: RNAcentral
UAAUAUGAGAAUUUAUUAAAAGAAUUGAGGCUUUAGGUAGGGUCUGAGUUAGAUGUAGAAGAGUUCGACCUUACAAUCAAAAUGAUUGGUGAUUAUGUCAAAAGAAACGUGAUUCCACACAACUGGUACCACCACUAAUCUAAUAACAUAUGCAGACAAUUGCUCUCUCGUAAAUUUCUUGUGAUAGCUUCCUCAAUAUUGUUCUUAUGAUCUUCUUACGCUGUCAAUGGCCUCGGCUUGGUGCUCUUGGUCAGCGGCGGAAAAUUGUUGAUCACAAUUCUUGGGCAUGUGUUGGUUGUCCCUAUAUUCCAUUCAUUUGAAAGGUGCCGCACGAGCCUCGUUGAUGAUUCGAUAUCUAAUACCCUUCCAUUGCGCGCAUCUAUUCAAAACACGAAAAUCUCCCAAAAUUCUUUGAAGAAAACAUCUAGGUUCUUGAUGUAGUCAUGGAACUUCUCUUCAUAUUGUUCUUGCAAGUACAUUGGAGUCUAAAGCUUGCAGAAUUUCUCGCCUUGUUUGUCCGUC